This 253-nucleotide ribosomal RNA is filed under the name uncultured bacterium. RNAcentral describes it as "partial 16S ribosomal RNA". It matches the Rfam family "Bacterial small subunit ribosomal RNA", at positions 524 to 776 of the family's 1533-position model. The record is from RNAcentral.
UACAGAGGGUGCAAGCGUUGCUCGGAAUUACUGGGCGUAAAGCGUGUGUAGGCGGUCUCAUAAGUGGGGUGUGAAAGCCCUAGGCUCAACCUAGGAACUGCGCCCCAAACUGCGAGACUUGAGUGUCGGAGAGGAUAGUGGAAUUCCCAGUGUAGAGGUGAAAUUCGUAGAUAUUGGGAGGAACACCAGUGGCGAAGGCGGCUAUCUGGACGAACACUGACGCUGAGACACGAAAGCGUGGGGAGCAAACAGG